This 68-nucleotide transfer RNA is filed under the name Cladiucha punctata. RNAcentral's name for it is "Cladiucha sp. 1 GN-2019 tRNA-Phe". Lineage: Eukaryota; Metazoa; Arthropoda; Insecta; Hymenoptera; Tenthredinidae. The record is from RNAcentral.
GUUUAAAUAGCUUAAAAAUAAAGUUUUUUAUUGAAGAUAAAAAAAUGAUAGGAAUCUAUCUUUAAACA